UAAUUUGCAUGGCUGACAUGAGCUUUCCCUCCUCCUCUCUGGAGCUGGUUUUAAGUAGGUCACAUCCAGCAGAGCAGAGGGAAGAAAUAAAGACCUUAGAGAGAGGCACCCUUGGUGCUGGACUGUAGAGUGCUCUGUGGUUUCCAGUAUGCAGGAGCUGACUUGGGCAGGAGUUUUUCUGAAUUCUUAAUAGUUUGGGCCAUGUUUUCAAGAUCACUCUGUCAAGUUCCAGAUGGGUUCAUCUGCAGCUUGGAUCUGUUACCUUUCUUGUCCUGUUGGAGAACUCCAAUUUUCCAGUGGGAGUUGGCCCAAAGAAAAAGCUGGCUGAAGCUGGGAUAGGGCUCUUCAGCAGGAUUAGCUCUGUGGACAUGAGCCAGUCUAAUCAGGAAGGCUGUAAAGUGUGCAGUACUUAUAAGUGGCUCUACGGGAGCUGUUGAGGUUCUGUGGAUUUUUUGUAAAUCAGCGAAAGCACACAUAAUUCUAGGAUGGGGGCUUUGCAUUGUCAAGAUCAUCAUUUAUGUUGUAUAAGUAAUAACACAUACACAGUGAGAUUAAUUCCAUUUGAAAAAGCAGUAUCUUUCCCAAUACAUUUUUCUUUUCAUAUUGUCUGUGUUUGUGUGUAUAACUUAAGCUCCAGCUACUGGUUCACUACCUUACUGUGGCAGUUUAUAUCCAUAACACACCCCACACAAAUGUUUAUUACCAUAUUAUUGUAUGAUGGUACUGGCUCUUAAUCAUUUGUUAACAUGGUAAAAUCAAGUGUGUAAGAUAUGUACCUGUAUCAGAAGUAAUGUAAGGAAUUGAAUUUCACCUCUACAAAUAAGUUGUUUUUAAUAUUAAGAAUGGCACUAAACUCUAUUAACUUUAUUAAUUAUGUGCAUGCAUAUCACUUUGUUCUCAGUGAAGCAAGACAGCAUUUAGAGGAAGGUGGAAGUUUCUAUUGGAUCAAUCAGUCUGAACUUGUCAUUGUUCAUUCCCAAGUCUUUGUGUUGAAGGGAAAAUUGUCCUUCUUCUCCCCCCAGACUGGCAUAUUGAUUGCUUCAGUACAAUGAAGGCAUUAAUCAAAGGAAAUUAAGUCUGAGGUUGUGAAGUACUGAGCUUCUCACUGCAACAAUUCCGCUCCUCUUUGUGCUCAUACAUGACUGCAGCUCUGCCCAUGCCAAAGCUGCACCAACAGAAACAGAA
Long non-coding RNA from Anas platyrhynchos (mallard), 1185 nucleotides. RefSeq lists it as uncharacterized. NCBI's taxonomy places the organism in Eukaryota, Metazoa, Chordata, Aves, Anseriformes, Anatidae. The record is from RefSeq and is a predicted model, not a curated record.